RNAcentral lists this long non-coding RNA (333 nucleotides) under Brassica napus (rape). RNAcentral's name for it is "long non-coding RNA (BNAP_LNC007806)". The record is from RNAcentral. Lineage: Eukaryota; Viridiplantae; Streptophyta; Magnoliopsida; Brassicales; Brassicaceae.
UUUCGACGAGAUGCUGACUCUGAGACUGCUAAUGACUCCCAAAAACCGUCUAAGCAUCUCAGGCUUUUGAGAACCAAAUAACCAUUUCUUGACCAUGAAAAAUUAGACCCCUGAAUCAACAGAGAAUGAUACAGCAAUGCUGAACAAGAAGCUUAACUCCUCAAGUGAAGUUGUCGCCUACUUUUAGAAAAGACUAAACACGACGCCGGAAGCGGGACCUAUGAAAAAGUUGUUAGGCAUCAAGAAACCUUCUAAUACCCAUAGACGACCACUCAAUUUGAAACCAGAUGCACACACACGAGGAAAUCAAACCAGAUACUUUCACCACAAUCA